Molecule: ribosomal RNA, 497 nt
Filed under: uncultured bacterium
Lineage: Bacteria
Description: partial 16S ribosomal RNA
Rfam family: Bacterial small subunit ribosomal RNA
Source: RNAcentral
GAUGAACGCUGGCGGCGUGCCUAAUACAUGCAAGUCGAGCGAACGGACGCGAAGCUUGCUUCUCUGAUGUUAGCGGCGGACGGGUGAGUAACACGUGGAUAACCUACCUAUAAGACUGGGAUAACUUCGGGAAACCGUAGCUAAUACCGGAGAAUCUUUUGAACCGCAUGGUUCAAAAGUGAAAGACGGUCUUUCUGUCACUUCUAGAUGGAUCCGCGCUGCAUUAGCUAGUUGGUAAGGUAACGGCUUAUCAAGGCAACGAUGCAUAGCCGACCGGAGAGGGUGAUCGGCCACACUGGAACGUAGACACGGUCCAGACGCCUACGGGAGGCAGCAGUAGGGAAUCUGCCGCAAUGGGCGAAAGCCUGACGGAGCAACGCGGCGUGAGUGAUGACGGUCUUCGGAGCGUAAAACUCUGUUAUUAGGGAAGAACAUAUGUGUAAGUAACUGUGGACAGCUUGACGGUACCUAGUCAGAAAGCCACGGCUAACUACGUG